GCAUUUUACUCUUGAAACAUUGAUGUUUUAUUUUAGUGUAUAGCACAACUCUUUGAAUGCAACUAAUGAUCUUUUUUCUAAAUAGUUUUUUCUAAAGAGUUCUAAAUAGUUUCUAAAUAUUCUUUUUAAAUAGUUGCCCAACUUCUUUCCCCACUGAUCUAAAAGGCGCUCUUGUCACAUAAUAAUAACAGUUAUAUAGUAAUUAUUGUAUAAUAC
RNAcentral lists this long non-coding RNA (216 nucleotides) under Bos taurus (domestic cattle). RNAcentral describes it as "long non-coding RNA NONBTAT024193". The record is from RNAcentral. Lineage: Eukaryota; Metazoa; Chordata; Mammalia; Artiodactyla; Bovidae.